This is a long non-coding RNA of Lates calcarifer (barramundi perch), 3773 nucleotides long. RefSeq lists it as uncharacterized. The transcript has 8 exons. NCBI's taxonomy places the organism in Eukaryota, Metazoa, Chordata, Actinopteri, Centropomidae. The record is from RefSeq and is a predicted model, not a curated record.
AAAAAAUGGCGGCCGAACCUGAGAGAUUUGUGUUAUUGGAGUUGGAGCUGAUAAAUACUGAACAACAGUCACUUUUAUUAAAAUUAUUGCGACGCAGGAAAGAGAAGAGACAUCGGAGGAGACGGGGAGUUCGACGGGAGGGUGCUCUGUGGGAGUGGCAUUGGAACAAAACUGAUCUGGUGUUCGCAAAAAAAAUUUAAGGAGCCGAAGAACCAGUUUUUUAACCAGUGGAGCUGAACGAACAAACAAAAAAAAACAAAGGACGUGACACUUGUGAUUUCACUCUGCGAUGAAGGAGGAGAAGCUGAAGUCCAAACUACUACAGAAGGUGGUUUGUCGGUGUGAGGCUGGAGAUGAGGCUGUGUGAAGGGCACGAGGAGGGAGGCGCUGCAGUCGAGCAGAGAGCUGAGUCUGCAGCCUCCAGCUGCUCCACAGGCUUCAGCUGCCACCUGCCUGCAGAUGUGAGUGGUCACAGCAGAGCAGAGUUCCCAGCAGCCGUUUACCCGCUGAUGAAACAGAAUCAGAACCAGGAGCUGAUGGAUUUCGACCUCAACUGGGAGCCUUCAUUCACUAAGCUGGUGUGUGUGAGGACGAGCAGUCAUGGACUCCUUCUGCCAAACUUGUAGAUCACCUCAUGAUGCGUUCAAGAGCAAUGGGUGCUUCAGGAGCAGCUGCUGCGUGGGAAACCUCAGAUUCAAGUAGGAGCUCCGCUUUUCCCUUCGUGUCGUAACUGCUGUUCACGCUCGGCAGGAGAAGUCGUCCUGAAGCUGACGUCAGAAGUUAAAUGUGGGAAAACUUCUGCACUAACUGAGCUUUUACCGUUAAAUUUUAAAUUUCACAUUUCUAUUCAUAUUCUCGUGUGUUGCUGUAUCAUCACUGUAAAAACAGAAAAACUGUCUCCUGUGUCAAAGCUGAGGCGACAGGUUAACUGUGGUUACUUAAAGCCGCUGUGUGCAGACAAACAUCUGGUAAAUCAGAUUUUUAAAAAGAUAGAAAAUACAGGUGGAAGCUGGACUGUGUUUAAAACAACCUCUGUUUGUAUUUGUUAAUGAGUAAUCAGCCCAAUAAUGACGUCGUCCCCAGGUAGCUGGUCUGAACUUUGACCUUCCUGAACCUGAAAACAUCAGGACUGUGGUGAUGUAAAAAAAUCGUCUCGCUCUGGUUCUCUCUGUUCUGGCGUCAGGUGUUUGUUUUGCCAAGAACAACAUGUCUGCAGCACUGAAGUGGAAACUCUUGGUGUUGUUCUUACCUCAGGAGGAAACAGUGAUACUCUAAACCUUUUCCACCACCAUGGAGCUGGUUUUGUUCUGGUUACACCUGAAUUAGAACAGCUCAGAGCGUUUCAACCUAAAUAAACUGGUUUGGAAGCUGAAGAGUCGGUUCUCAGCUGGAACCAGAAAACAUCAGGUUCCCCAGUGUGAAUCCAAACCUGGACAGGCUCUGUUGUCGCAGGACCAGUUUGUUAAUCUGCUGUUUAAUCCUUCAUUAAUGUGAUACCUGUUGUUACCUGGCAGACGUCUCCAUAUAAAACUCUACAAACUGAGAGGAUCAGGAAUCUGUUUCCCCAACAACCAACAACAAACUGUGUCGGCUGAACGUUGGACACGAGGCUUUUAAAUAACUUCACACUGACAUGAAUUUAACUGAUGUUAGACCUGAACGAGUCGGCUCACUGCGUCUUUAAAUAACCUCACCUUCGCUUUCAUCUCCCCUUUGAUUAACUCAAGAUAAACUCAGAACCCGUUAAUGUUAAUGAGCAGUUACAGGUUAACUCUCCGUUUCAGUCCUGUUCCCACUAACAAACCUUAUGUUUUGUUGUUGUUUCUUUUCUAAUACUCCAACACUUGUUUUAAUCACACCUGUUAUUUACCUGUGAGUACUGGUUGUUUUCACCUGGUCCCACCGUUUGGUCUUGUUUUAGAAACAAAGGUGAAUAUUUAAGGUCAAACCAGAGAACACCCAGAGAUCUUUCUGGAGAAUAUUUAAGUCCUGGAAAAGCUUUAUAAUGUUCAGUAAAUCUGAUCUGGUGUCUGUAUUCAUGUGUACAUGUUGUUGGUGGUUCCAGUGGGAUUGAAUCUGUAUCUGUGCAUCACAAUAUCGAUCAGUUUUAAUGACACAGUUUCACUGUGUUUGUUUCUGCUCCUGUGUGAAGCAAUAAAGUUUUUCAGAUCUGAUCUGGAUUUUUUUUUCUGAGUGUUCUCUAAUCUAUAUUUAUAUAAUAUAUAACCCUGUAAGUGUAAAGUAUCACCUGAAGAAACAAACGGGUGUAAUGGCGCCUCCUGCACUGACACUCCGGUCCAGCAGGUGGCGCUGUUACACCCGUGCGCUGUGAACGCAGCAGCAGCUGAGCUGUCACUCGAUAAAAAGAUAAAAACAACAUGUUUCUGACUUCGUGACUCCAGACAGAGCUGAGUAACUUUAACUGGAGUUCUGUCAGUUUGACUUCAUGUUAGUUUGUUGUUUCCUGGGUGUUUUUCUGCUGCCCGUGCUGCGUUCAGGGGCCAGACUGGAGCAGGACUGGAUGUGGACCAGGUGGUCAGAGUGCUGCUGUCGUCCAGCAGGAGGCAGUAUGAGUCCACAGCAGGAUCAGCCUCUGUGGUGUUUCUCCUCCUGGCAUCUGACAACAUCAUGGAGAGGAUUCCUACAGACAGAGCUUUUUAUUAAAGAGGAGGAUCCAGAAACAUCACUUUAUAUCAGUACCAGACUCCAUAGAGAAAAACAGGGAUUUAACCAGGAGCUGCUGGAAUACCACUGCCUCCAUCUGUCAGUGUGUCUGUGUUACUGUGAGACUUUCAGUGGUUGAAGAAGUAAUCAGAUACUUUACUGAAGUAAAAGUACCACGCAGUAACACAAACACACUAACAGAUGGAGGCAGUGGUAUUCCAGCAGCUCCUGGUUAAAUCCCUGUUUUUGUUAAUGGAGUCUGGUAUUGAUAUAUAGACUGCUCCAGUGUCCAGUGUUAUUCCAACUGAUAGAAAUGAUGGACGACACUGUGAGAAAGUGAGACGUGUGUUUUUAGAGCAGAGAGUAAAAUCAUUUUACUGCAAAUCAAAGUGAAAUUAUAAGUGUAUGUGUGAGGAUGAGGUCAGGGAGUGUGUUUGCCAUCACGGGACCUCAUCAACACCUCGCUCACAUGGCGACAAAGACGCACACACACACACACACACACACACACACACACACACUCAGUGUAAAGGUUUCCCUCAGGACACUUAGAGCAGAGGAAGGAGACGGUUUAACGGACGUUUCCAUUCAGACAGUCGUAGAAUAAAGACGCAGCUGCACACACACACUCAGUGUCUGUGUGUGUCAUGACUAAGACAAGAAACACACACACGACACUACAGACUUAAUGCUGCGUCUGCAUAUACUCAGUGUGUGUGUGUGUUUGACUGGUGUCAGUGUUUGAUCCUAACAGGCAGAGAGAGGCACACACAGAUGAAAACACAACACACACACACACACACAGAUGAAAAACAAGGAAGUAUCUUCUACGUGUGUUUAUUGUUUGUGGAUAAUUUUAAAUUGAAACAGCAUGAAGUGAAUAUUCAGGAGACUUUGACCAAUCACAGGUGUUUUCAGAGAGCAAGUGUUCCUAUUGGCUGUUCUAUAACUAACUAAGUAUCAGGCUUGAGUUUUGUAGUUUUAUCUUUGCCUGUCCCAGCUGUAAUAGUGUUAUCACUAAAGAAAGAAGCAGUUAGAUGCUUGUUUGAUCUGAAACUGACAAACUUUGUUCUGUAAAAUGUCAGAAAGUAAACGUGAGCUGAACUGUU